This 454-nucleotide ribosomal RNA is filed under the name Enterococcus faecium. Its description in RNAcentral is "bacterial SSU rRNA". It matches the Rfam family "Bacterial small subunit ribosomal RNA", at positions 49 to 484 of the family's 1533-position model. Lineage: Bacteria; Bacillati; Bacillota; Bacilli; Lactobacillales; Enterococcaceae. The record is from RNAcentral.
CUAUACAUGCAGUCGACGCUUCUUUUUCCACCGGAGCUUGCUCCACCGGAAAAAGAGGAGUGGCGAACGGGUGAGUAACACGUGGGUAACCUGCCCAUCAGAAGGGGAUAACACUUGGAAACAGGUGCUAAUACCGUAUAACAAUCAAAACCGCAUGGUUUUGAUUUGAAAGGCGCUUUCGGGUGUCGCUGAUGGAUGGACCCGCGGUGCAUUAGCUAGUUGGUGAGGUAACGGCUCACCAAGGCCACGAUGCAUAGCCGACCUGAGAGGGUGAUCGGCCACAUUGGGACUGAGACACGGCCCAAACUCCUACGGGAGGCAUCAGGAAGGAAUGUUUGGCAAUGGACGAGAGUCCUUCCGAGCAACACCGCGUGAGUGAAGAAGGUUUUCGGAUCGUAAAACUCUGUUGUUAGAGAAGAACAAGGAUGAGAGUAACUGUUCAUCCUGUCGAUCA